UUGUAGGGCACCUCUCGCUUGGCAGGCAAUGGCAGCAUGAGAAGGUGUUAGAAUUCGACCCUGUUGUCUUGCCAAAGGAGAGCUGCCCUGUGA
RNAcentral lists this small RNA (93 nucleotides) under Manihot esculenta (cassava). Its description in RNAcentral is "precursor microRNA miR399b". The record is from RNAcentral. Lineage: Eukaryota; Viridiplantae; Streptophyta; Magnoliopsida; Malpighiales; Euphorbiaceae.